AUCUUUUCGGUGUCAGGCACGGAAGGUUUUGAACCUUCAUGAGGGGUAAACCCAAAAGAUU
This 61-nucleotide transfer RNA is filed under the name Phyllidia ocellata. RNAcentral's name for it is "tRNA-Gln". Lineage: Eukaryota; Metazoa; Mollusca; Gastropoda; Nudibranchia; Phyllidiidae. The record is from RNAcentral.